GAGUUUGAUCCUGGCUCAGGACGAACGCUGGCGGCGCGCUUAACACAUGCAAGUCGAGCGAGAACCAGGGCUUCGGCCCUGGGGAAAGCGGCGAACGGGUGAGUAACACGUGGGUAAUCCACCCUCGGCACCGGAAUAGCCCGGGGAAACCCGGAUUAAUGCCGGAUGGCCCGCCGGCCCCUCGGGGCCGGCCGGAAAGGUAGCUUCGGCCUCCAGCCGAGGACGAGCCCGCGGCGGAUUAGCUUGUUGGUGGGGUAACGGCUCACCAAGGCGACGAUCCGUAGCUGGUCUGAGAGGACGAUCAGCCACACUGGGACUGAGACACGGCCCAGACUCCUACGGGAGGCAGCAGUGGGGAAUCUUGCGCAAUGGGCGAAAGCCUGACGCAGCGACGCCGCGUGAGGGAAGAA
This 410-nucleotide ribosomal RNA is filed under the name uncultured Actinomycetes bacterium. RNAcentral's name for it is "bacterial SSU rRNA". It matches the Rfam family "Bacterial small subunit ribosomal RNA", at positions 9 to 412 of the family's 1533-position model. Lineage: Bacteria; Bacillati; Actinomycetota; Actinomycetes. The record is from RNAcentral.